Molecule: long non-coding RNA, 428 nt
Organism: Carassius gibelio (silver crucian carp)
Lineage: Eukaryota; Metazoa; Chordata; Actinopteri; Cypriniformes; Cyprinidae
Exons: 3
Source: RefSeq, a predicted model, not a curated record
UCAAGCGUUGUUUGAUUGCACAUUGCAGUGCUUCCUCACUUCAAAGAGAGCUGCAAAGAAAAAACUGAAGAAAAGCUUGAAAAAAACGCGCGUAGGAAUCGAGGCUCUUGUGGUGUACGGCACACUGAAAACACUCACAUUAGAUUGCAGAAAGAUGAUUAAUCGUGCUCACAGGAAUCAACUGCGGCAAUCGGUGUCGUCGAGGUUGGUUUACCAUAUCGUACAGUCGGAGAGACCCGUAAAUAAUCGGGUUUUGUAUGUGUACAACAAAAUUCCCCCAACACCCUCUUGAAACUCUCGUCUAUGAUUCAAUAUGAACGGAAUUUAUCCAGCCUUCAAAAGCUGAACUACCAUUUCUUUUCUUGUAAAUUUGUGAAAAUGUGUGUAAAAUGUCUUUACGGUCACCUUUGAUCAAUGUGUGGGAUAAA